UACGUAGGGUGCGAGCGUUGUCCGGAUUUAUUGGGCGUAAAGGGUGCGCAGGCGGCCGUCCGCAGUGGCGCGUGGAAUCUCCGGGCUUAACCCGGAGGGGUCGCGCCAGACGGGGCGGCUUGAGGCGGGCAGAGGACCGUGGAACGGGCGGAGUAGGGGUGAAAUCCGUAGAGACCGUCCGGAACACCGAUGGCGAAGGCAGCGGUCUGGGCCCGUCCUGACGCUCGGGCACGAAAGCGUGGGGAGCGAACGGA
This 254-nucleotide ribosomal RNA is filed under the name uncultured prokaryote. RNAcentral's name for it is "partial 16S ribosomal RNA". It matches the Rfam family "Bacterial small subunit ribosomal RNA", at positions 524 to 776 of the family's 1533-position model. The record is from RNAcentral.